CGCGUAGGUGGUAGUGCAAGUCUGGGGUGGAAUCUUAGGGCUUAACCCUAAAACUGCCUUGGAAACUGCAUUACUUGAGUCAGUGAGGGGAGGGUAGAAUUCCUGGUGUAGCGGUGAAAUGCGUAGAUAUCAGGAGGAAGGCCGGUGGCGAAGGCGGCCCUCUGGCGCUGAACUGACACUGAGGCGCGAAAGCGUGGGGAGCAAACAGGAUUAGAUACCCUGGUAGUCCACGCCCUAAACGGUGGGCACUAGGUGUAGGGCUCGUAAGGGUUCUGUGCCGAAGGGAACCAUUAAGUGCCCCGCCUGGGGAGUACGGCCGCAAGGUUGAA
This 329-nucleotide ribosomal RNA is filed under the name uncultured bacterium. Its description in RNAcentral is "bacterial SSU rRNA". It matches the Rfam family "Bacterial small subunit ribosomal RNA", at positions 568 to 898 of the family's 1533-position model. The record is from RNAcentral.